Long non-coding RNA from Canis lupus familiaris (dog), 481 nucleotides. RefSeq lists it as uncharacterized. The transcript has 3 exons. The record is from RefSeq and is a predicted model, not a curated record. Lineage: Eukaryota; Metazoa; Chordata; Mammalia; Carnivora; Canidae.
UCUGUCUCUGUCUCUGUCUCUGUCUCUGUUACUCCCCCUGCUGGCAGAUAUGUUGUUUACAGAGUCCCAAGCCCAAGCAUCAGCCAGAAAGAAUAUAGGACUGGUUUGGAGCUGGGGACCAGAACCUACUCUUUGAUACAAAGUCAUAGAAAAAUAAGGAGGACCAAAGUGUUGUGAGGUGAGAUCAACUAGAAUUAUCUAUGCAAGUUUCCUUAUCUGUCAAAUGAAGAAGAGGAAUGUGAAGAUUGCUGAAAUAAGUAGGAGACCUGCAGAACAUAGCCUGUAGAGGAGCAUGGGCAAGAUCAGGGGAACUACUUAGCAGAAUGCUGCAGCAGUCCAGGUAGUACAUCUAUGGGUAACAUGUUUCCUGGGAUCCCUGAGUGGCGCAGCGGUUUAGCACCUGUCUUUGGCCCAGGGCACGAUCCUGGAGACCCGGGAUCGAGUCUCACGUCGGGCUCCCGGUGCAUGGAGCCUGCUUCUC